UUUGUUUUGUUAUUAUUAUUAUUACCUGGUUUGUGUAAUUUUUUUAAAUUAUUAUUAUUAUUUAUAUUUUAUUUUAUCAUUUCUGUAAUUAUCAAGUUGUUUAAAAAAAAAAAAAAAUUAUCGCAGCAUGCACGCUGCAAUUUUUUGCAGCGUGCAAAGGACAGCCUCAACAGCCAUUGAAUGGCUGGAUAUGAAGGCGAGAGGUAAGCCUUCAUCCUCACCAUUGAGGUGAGGGUUUAGGAGAUUGGGAAGUGGAUAUAAAAUGGAUAAGAAGGUUCAGCCGUAAGGGGUUUUGGGGGAGAGAAAGGAACGGCUGAAAAUCUGGGGAGAGAAGGGAGUGAACGGCAGAACUGAGAGCAAGAGGGAAAAGGGGCAGAGCUAGGAAAAAAGAGGGAGGACAAUCGAGAGAGAGAGCUAGUGGGGAGAGAGUGGAACGGCUAAGGAAAACUGAGAAGAGAGAGACAAAGGUUGUCGGCUGUAGACUAAAGGGAAAAAUCAGAAACAAGCAAAAGAAAUGAGAGGAAAACAGGCUGAGAAAUCAGAGAGGCUGAUGGGCGGCUGAUUAGGAAGAAAGAGUAGAGCAUACAGAGAGAGAGAGAAGACAACUGCAUCAUCAUCGCUCCUCCAUCGAGUGUUUGCUGAAUCGUUCAAGUUCUUUCUUCGUUUCAGGUAUCGAUUUCUUCUUUUAAAGGUCAAAGUUUUUUCCUUUAGUUAUUUGUUUGCAUUUCUGUGUCCUUGUUGAUUCUGGUCUGGCUUCAAUAUGACUAAGGUUUCUUGUUUUUGGGUUUGGUAAAAUCUGAAGUUUGGGUGGGGGGUUGAUAUUUCACAUAUGGGUGUUUUGGCCGAGAGAAAAUGGUUAAAGUUUCCAACUUUGGUUGGUGGUUCGUCUUAGGUUGAGUUUUGGGUUGCAAGACUAGAUUUUUCUUGUAAGUUAGUGUCAUAGAUUCUCAUUUUAAGUAUUGCUGCUGUCCAUGUGAGGAACAAGAACCAAACCAGAAAAUGGAGUGCUUCUUCGGCAAGUUGAAUUUCUGACUUUUAAUUCGUUGAUUUCCCUUUUCGUUUUGUGAGUUUGUAAGCUGUUUUUGGGUAGUUAUAGGUAUAAAAUGCAUGUUUUGUAUGUUUGGGGGCUGAAACACUUGAAUUAAGAUCAAAUGCUUGCUGAAAAUGAUCAUUUCAGGUUGCUGAACCACCUUUGCACACAUAUUUUUCCAGAAUUUUUUGCAUGGCUUCAGUUUGGUUUUUGUUCGUCUGGAUUGGGGUGGUUGUAUAGUUACUUGCGUAGUUUAAAGCUGUGAUGUUGGGGUUGAAGGGUAUCUAAUCAAAGUCGUGUGUUUGAAUUGGAAAUUUGAGUUAGGAAACAAAAAAAAAUGCAGCAGGCUUCACUUUUGGCUGCUGAAUUUUUCGAGUGUUUGAAUUACUUAGUUUGCUGAUUAUUUGAAAUAUUUUGAGAGGUGUUUAACGUGGUUUUGAGUGAAGUUGAUUUGAAGUUUUAAAUGAACUUGGUUUUGCCGAAAGUUUACAUGCAAGGAUAGAAAGUCAUGGCUGAAAAUUGCAGAAGCCAAAUCCGCAAGUCUGUUGAAAGGUUCAAGCAGUUUGCAUGUUUUUCCAUGCUCAUGGUUCAUUGUACCAUGACAUUUAUGUGUGUUUUGAAGUAAUGAUUUUGUUAGGUGAAAGGUUUGGUUAAAGAUGAGGUGCUAAAGUCCAAAGUUUGUGUUUGAAAAUGCAGCAAAUUAAUACAGAAGCCUAAGCUGCCACAAUUUUUCUGUGAUGUUUUCUUCUCUGUGUUUGAUUUGUUGAGUUUUCCUACUUAACCUGCAUGCCUAAUCUUAUGUUUGAAUGGAAGAAAAGAAGGUUUGGUGUUGAGUUUGCAUUCUUUGAAUCACAGGAAACGUAAACUAGCUUGAAUGUUGGCCAAGUAAAAUAGAUUUCCCUAAAAAUUCUGAAUGGUGGGUGAGUUGUCUUGAACCAAUCUGAAUCAUGAGUUGGUUUCUCAUUCCAGAUUUCUCUUUGUUUUUUUGUAUGCAUAAAAGGUGUUUUUAAGAAUGAGUUUGCAACCUUUAGCGAGUGCUAGGAAGCUGGAUUUUCUUCUUGGUUAAAAUCUUUUCUCUUGCCGCAUAAGGCUGCUGAAGUUCCAAAGUCUCGGCUGACUCUCUUUGGCUGCAGAAAUGUUUCCUAAGCUUUGCAUGAAGUCACCUGAACUGUUCAGAUUUUGCAUGUCUGUUGGCUGACCUUUGGUGUUAAAUUUAUAAGUUUCAUGAUGCAAAAUGAGAGGAAUGUAUGGUAGUUUUUUGUUUGGAUUUAAUUGAGUCUGAAAGCUGUUAAUGCCGAAUUGAGGGAAGCUUUCAUCAGAAUUCUUGUUGCAGGCAAUGUUUACGUAGCUUUGCAUGGUUUUGCAUGAAACUAUUUUUGAAAAUUUCACUUUAACCCCCCAAGUCUCCCCUUGUUCUACUAUGACCCACAAAUUUGAGAAAGCUAAUCAAUUGGGUCCCUGUGAUUUUUGCAGCAAUGCAUUAUGGCCCAAUUACAUUCCAAUGUCUUGCAAUUAGGUUCUAAGGUGUUUGCAUUUGAAUCAUUAAUUGAUCUUUAUUAUUUUGGGGACCUUUGAAGCUCUUUGAUGAUUCAUUUUGACGUUGAUUGUGAUUGAUUAGUGGUCGUUAUUGGGUCCUAGAAAUGCAAGUUUAAACCAUUCAUGGACCUUCAUUCACUCUUGGAUUCUUGAGAUAUGAUGUUUGCUUGGAUUUUAAUUUUUACUUGGGGACCUUUGAGUUUUUAAAUGCUUCAAUUAGGUUCAAAUGAUUUGAGUUGUGCUUGCAUUUGGGUCUUUAGUGGAUGUUAUGCUUGGAGGUUGGAUGAUCAUGUCUUUGCUUGGUCUUUAAUUAGCUUUUUACUUCAUUAAGUUGUAAUUGGGGGAAAAUUUGAUGAUUUGGUGGAUUCCAAUUGUUUUGUUUAUAUCUUAUAACUAAAUUGGUGCGUUAAUCCUUUGCUUUGAAUGGUUUUAUGUAACGACCCACCUCCCUUAAGGCGUACCAGAGGGUUCGCGGGCCGCCUGCCCAGCUCUCGCCGGGACUCAGUCGUUCGCUACAGUUCUCAAUUAAAAAUUGAAAUAAAUCACUAGAAUAAAUAGGGCAUUGAUCUAAACUUAAAGCGGAACUUAUAUACAUUGCCAACCCAAAAGAGAAUAUAAACAUCAAAUAUACAAGGGUUCUCAAUCCUUCAUACGUCCAACCCGUGCCAAGCACUAGGCGAGAACCGCUACAAAAGAAACAAAAGAAACAAAACUAGAUUGGCUAGUCUAUCUCAAGCUCACGUCCUCGCUCGCCUUCCCCUGUAAGGAAAACAAAACUAAAGGAAUGAGCUAAAAGCCCAGUGAGGUUCCGAACACAUAAUCAGAUAAUCAAUCCAAUACAUUAAACAUGGAGUAUCAAUAAUUCAAUAAACAUUUACAAUGGAAAGCGAUAGUAACACAUUCAUUAAAAGGAUACGGCUCACAAGGAGCAAUUCGUUAUUUCGUUCAUUCGUUCUCCUGACAUUUCCCCUUAUUCCUCCAAUCAUUAGAAAAUGCAAUUUUCGUUUAUCAAUAAACCCUCGUUCGUUCGUUCGUUCGUUCAUUCAUUCAUUCACCCCCGUCCUGGCCGUUGGCCAGUCUCCACCAACCUACACGGUAAUACUCGAGUAUACCAAACGUUCACCCAAGUCCCUAAUCGCCCGACCGAGUCCGCUUCUGGCUCGAGACGACCGGUAACAAGGGCAAUGGCCAGUUCAGCCCAAAAGUCUUACAUUCAUGCGCAAGUAACAUUUCAAUCAUUAAAUCCUUGAAAAUUGCACAGUUAUUUAGGUCGAGUGCGAUAAAGUACACACUCGCCUAGAAAGCUCAUUUUGGAAAUCAUUAAAAGCAAUUAACACAUUAGCAAAUGAUAACACAAAGCCAUAAAGUCAAAUAAGGAAACACUCACCUAGAUAUAACAUGCAAAAUCCUUCCGACAUUACCUUAGUCAGCAAUGAAACCUAAGGUUGAACAAGAGAACAUAUUACAGUUUAUCGAGCAAAACAUUUAAGGAAAACAAAGAAACCCGACUAAUUAGGAGUAAAACGUGUAAAGAUGACUUUCAAGUAAGAAGAGGGUUGUUUGAACCCCAGGAUGAAAAAUCGUGUUUUUAAAAUGAAAACCGUCAUGGUAUUGGCCAAACAAAAGUAUACAAGUUCCAAUAGAAACCUAGCCCUCGAGCGAAAAUUUGGGCAGCACGCCCUUUGUGUUACCUAAUUUUCCAGCCAUUUUGGCUUCAUUAUUUUUCCUCAACCACAAACCCAACAUCACACAUAAGCAAUUCAAUCAAGAGCUGUUCCAUAGCUCACAAUAUCAUAAGAAUAAGAAUUACAACAAUCACAAGUGCAGAAAUUCAACUUAGCACAAGACAGAUUUGACGUACGAAUUCCGGAAAUAACAUACUGAAGCUACGCUUAUCGAUUUGAGACAAAACCUAUGCCGUUUCGAAACUAAGACACAGAAUACAAUGUUCAUGAAGGUCACUUAGUCCAGUUCCUAAUGUAACUUAGUCAAAUUCUCAAAUUACUAAACCAGAAACCAAUUCGUCGGCUGUUUAAACGCAGAACACUGUAAUGGACAUAUCUCAGAGUACACAAGUCCGAAUCAGGUGUUCUUAGAGGCAUUUGAAAGCUAAUUCAGAAUACUACAACUUUCAUGUUUUGGCAAAAAGCUAAAUCAGAAUGGAUCCUAGUUGAAAAAUGUGAUAAACUGGACUUAACUGAUCACACGGACUGCUUGGGAAAUACUUAAAACAGUAAGGGUAUUUCGGACUUUUCAUGACCUACAUUGCUCCGAUUGAGAUGAAAUUUUACAGACACCUACAAAAUAUCAUUCUCUACAACUUUCCUUCUUUGACCCAAGGCCAAUUCGGCCUCUAACAUGCAGUUACCAAACCGGACAGAAUGGAAGCUAGAAUUUCCAGAAAUCUGAAAUUUGUAGUUUCUAGUGCAACUUUCCCCAAUUUCUCACUUCUCACACUACCAAAACAUCUUAUACAACAUUAAUUGUAACAUACAAGCAUCAUACAACAAGUUGGGCAGAAUUUCCCAAACCCUAGUUCAUCAUAUAAAGAGGGGAAAAACUUCCAAACAUGCUAGCAUCCAUGAUUCCACUACUACUCAAGUUACUAGACUUAAUUUAACCAAGAUUGAAAGAAAAAUUUAGAGAGAUAUCAUCUUCCUUACCUUAAUAUGAGUUCUCCAAGUGUAGCCCAAGCCUUCUCUUUCCAAAAUUUCACCACCAAACACUAGCUAAUCACUCAAGGAGAAGUUUAAUCGGUUUAGUUCUUUUGAUUUCUCACUUUGUAGCUUGAAUCAAGAAGAAAUGAAGAAAGUUCACUCUUGUUCUUCUCCUCUCUCUCUCUCAGCUCCCUUGGCAGAAAUAUGAAGAGGUAUGAAGCUAAGUUGUCUUAUAUUAAAGCCAAAAGGAUUAGAACUAAUGGUGUCCACAAAUUGCCCAACACUUGGCCUAAUCUUGGCCACUAAUUUUUCUCUUUCUUUCCCUUGCUUAUGAGCCACAAAUUUCGGUCAAGCUUGCUGCCAAGAGAGAAGAUAUUUUGCUCAAGUUCAAUAAAUUUGUUUGGUAAGCAAAAAUGGUGGUCAAGUGGUGCGUUCAAACGGUAGUGCGCGGGACCCGCCGGUUCGCGCCGUUUUUCUUAAAAACUCACGUACUAGGGUUUUUACUUCCCAUUCACUAACCUUAUAUCAUUGCUACCAAUCACAUAUUAUUUCUCACUUAAAAGUCACUUUUAAUCCUCAAAUUUAAUCCUUACUCUGUACCGAAAAUUCAUCCGGCGAAAAAUCGCGAAAACCCUAAUUUUGCUCCAAACUUGAAACCGAAGCGUAAAACCCUAUUUUCUAGGUUUAUCUACACUUAAUGUGAAAUAUUUGGGUAGUGGCCUUUGGUAAAUACUAAUUUUCAAAUAAAAGGGUAUUUUUGAGGAAAAAUACAAGGAAUUUGCGAGUCCUCACAUUUUAGCACAUGUUAUCCCGUUAGUUGGUGACUUAGCCCAGUUUAA
RNAcentral lists this long non-coding RNA (6062 nucleotides) under Coffea arabica (coffee). Its description in RNAcentral is "long non-coding RNA (CARA_LNC008043)". The record is from RNAcentral. Lineage: Eukaryota; Viridiplantae; Streptophyta; Magnoliopsida; Gentianales; Rubiaceae.